Pseudoliparis swirei is the source of this 402-nucleotide long non-coding RNA. RefSeq lists it as uncharacterized. Lineage: Eukaryota; Metazoa; Chordata; Actinopteri; Perciformes; Liparidae. The transcript has 2 exons. The record is from RefSeq and is a predicted model, not a curated record.
GCUCCUGCUAUUAUGCCCGUGCCAAGGAGUGAUCGCCGGACCGGUGCGUUUUACGCACAUCUUUUCCCGAAAUAUCCACCCUGCUUAACGAAUCUCUGCUGUCGCCAGCCUGAGCUGAAGGUGACCUGUUGGCUGGGCCAGGGGCUGCAACACAGGACAUGGGUCCAGCUUCCCUAUCUCCCCUCGUGUCUUGUGUUGCAGCCAGUGGAGCAGCCUCUCUUCAGGUCUGUCGAACGCUGAUGGACCAGAACAGAUGGAUCCCAAUAAUGAUGGACCUGUAUACCCUGCUCUUCACUUUACAGCUAGCGUGUGCCUUAUUUUGUCAUUUCUACUGUAGUUCUAGGUCUAAAUAUCUUGUUUUCUCACAGUUUAAAAUCAAUAAAGCACUUUAAGAAAACAUUA